UACAAAAACAUGCUUGCUACUUCCCUAUUCGAUUAUAUAAUAAACUAAUUACACAGUUUGGUUGAAAAUCGCGAGACGAAUCUUUUAAGCCUAGUUAGUCUAUGAUUAGCCUUAAGUGUUACAGUAAUCCACAUGUGUUAAUGACAAAUUAAUUAUGCUUAAUAGAUUUGUCUUGCACAGACGAGCUAUGAAAUUUGUUUUUUUAUUAGUUUUUAAAAACUCUUUCCGAUAUCCUUCCGACACAUCCGAUGUGACACCCAAAAAAUUUCCAUCUCCAAUCUAAACAGGGCCUCAAUAAUCCUAGCCUGCAGCAUCAUCAUCUUUUAUUUUAUUUUCGUAACAGAUACACUAGUGCAUAUAUCUAGAAAACUGAAUCGGUUCUACCAAUUACAACAGUUUUUGUACAUUCCCCAUGAAAGUGUUUACCUGCUGCUCUGGUGCACACUGCCGGCCCCGCACCGGCACAUAAAUUGGCCUAAAGAUUUUGUCUAAGCUGAGAUGACCGAAUUUCAGUGAAAAUCACCUAUUUUGGGUGAGGCCUAAAAUAAUAUUAUACCGGUCAAAAAAAUUCAACUAAAUUCAUUAUUUUAGUCAAAUCUAGAGUAAAAUUCAUAUUUUUAAAAUUUACCAAUUGUACAUGGAAUUUCCACUCGAGUCCUCUUCCACACAAGCAAAAAAAAGGGUUCUGCCGUCAUGGAUUACGUGUGCUCAGAAAACUGUCGUCAUGCGUGAGAGAAGACUUUGCCAGUCCGUCGUCACGCAUGACUGCUCACACAAGAAAUAACAUCGUCAUUUCAUAUAGUAGAGCUAUUUGAACCUUCAUUUCAUGUAACUCAAACUUCACUGCUAGCCUACAGACAAGAGAGAAAGACAAGAAAACAUCGUCAUUUCAUGUAGUAGAGCUAUUUGAACUAUCAUGUAGCUCAAACUUCACUAGAUGCCGACACACAAGACAGGAAGCCAAGAAAACAUCGUCAUUUCAUGUAGUAGAGCUAUGUAAACCGUCAUUUCAUGUAACUCAAACUUCACUUGUAGCCUGCAGACAAGAGAGGAAGACAAGAAGACAUCGUCAUUUCAUGUAACUCAAACUUCACUGGUAGCCUGCAGACAAGAGAGGAAGACUUCAUCACUGCUAAAGGUGCAAUUUCACAAAAAGGUAGUAAACAAUGGUGAAGGGACAUGGCAUUGUGACAAAUGCAACAAGAGCUUACCAUAUUGCGAGUUUAGAUACUUUGCUGGCGUGCCAGAUCCAGGACCACAUUAGGUACCUAUGCUACUGCAUUCCAAGAGGCUGGUGUCGAGAUGGUUCGUGAGCCACUAGCAUGAAUGCACCACCUCAGGUCGGUCGCAACUGGGCAUGAAUGCAACUUAAAUACAUGUUGUUUCAAUAGCGAGAGUUGGUGAGCCACUCACAAGCUCACGUCAACACCAUAACUCCCUAUUCUAACCAUCAAAGAUUGUUUCUCAUCCAAAUUAUCAUCAUGAGCGGGCUAUAAACAAUUUAACUUAAGACUAGAACAUAAGAUUAGAUCAGAAUUACAAGUUGAAAUAAUAAUUAAAGUCAAAGGAACACUAAUUAACUAAUAAAUAAGGAAAAAAAUUUAUAGUUCGCCGUGAGCUAUUUAAAGGGCACACGGCGAAGACCGUCUUUGCCGUGUGCCCCAGACUAGCACACGGCAAAGAUCCAAGGUUUGUCGUGUGCUUCCAGUUGGCACACGGCAAAGAGUUGAUGGCAGCCAACGGUGGCCGACGGCGUCAGAAUUUUGCCGUCAGCCCCGUGCUAGCACACGACAAAGAGUGCAUUCACCGUGUGUUUUAUUUUCGCCGUGUGUUUUUCCUCGGCACACGGCAAAUGUAUUGACUUCACCGUGUGCUCUUCUGUUCAGCACACGGCGAAGGACGUAAACGCCGAGUGCUAAACGUUUGCCGUGUGCUGGGCUGGGUGGCACACGACAAAUCAGCUCUUUGCCGUGUGCUCGAUGUAUUGCACACGGCAAAGCUACGGGCACACGGCAACCUCCGGUUUUCCGGUAGUGCGCAUGACUGCUCACACAAGAAAUAACUUUGGCACCCUACUGCUGAUGUCCAUCCCGAGUAUAAAACUGUACGAGGAGGAGC
This 2118-nucleotide long non-coding RNA is filed under the name Sorghum bicolor (sorghum). Its description in RNAcentral is "long non-coding RNA (SBIC_LNC007892)". The record is from RNAcentral. Lineage: Eukaryota; Viridiplantae; Streptophyta; Magnoliopsida; Poales; Poaceae.